UUCAGAAGUUGGAAUUUAGGAAUUAAAGAAUCAAAGUGGAAUCUUGGGAAAUGGGGGAGAAUUAACAAAUGGUCAACAGAGGUAGAAAAGAAUGGGAACGCGCCGUCUUUUUGAUGAAAAAGAGCUAAGAAGCCUAAAUAAAAUUAGGAUUUAAGUUGUAUAUGCUGGUAGUAUAAAUUUUUUUACAUCAUCGGGUCAAUUUAAUUGAUUAUAGCAGGUUAUUGUUUUAUUUUUU
RNAcentral lists this long non-coding RNA (235 nucleotides) under Nicotiana benthamiana. RNAcentral's name for it is "long non-coding RNA (NBEN_LNC002536)". The record is from RNAcentral. Lineage: Eukaryota; Viridiplantae; Streptophyta; Magnoliopsida; Solanales; Solanaceae.